GCUGAGUGUGGUGGCAUGUGCCUGAAAUUCCAGCUACUCAGGAGGCUGAGGCGAGAGGAUCUUUUUAGCCUAGGAAUUCAAGGCCAGCCUGGGCAAGGUAGUGAGAGACCCUGUCUCUU
Molecule: small RNA, 119 nt
Filed under: Marmota monax (woodchuck)
Lineage: Eukaryota; Metazoa; Chordata; Mammalia; Rodentia; Sciuridae
Source: RNAcentral